This is a small nucleolar RNA of Phoenix dactylifera (date palm), 210 nucleotides long. RefSeq annotates it as small nucleolar RNA U3. NCBI's taxonomy places the organism in Eukaryota, Viridiplantae, Streptophyta, Magnoliopsida, Arecales, Arecaceae. The record is from RefSeq and is a predicted model, not a curated record.
ACGACCUUACUUGAACAGGAUCUGUUCUAUAGGCUCGUACAACCGUAUCCUUGAUUGCAAAGGAGACGGGCAACUCAGUCUGGUGGAUGACUCUUGACCUCAAGGCUGGAGCGUGAUUAUUGGUAGGAAUCCUUCGGAGUUCUUGCUGUAGAGGAUCGUUCUCGGAUGAUUUCGAUCGUCUGGGAUGGCCAUGAGGUUGUCUGACAGACU